This is a long non-coding RNA of Athene cunicularia (burrowing owl), 146 nucleotides long. RefSeq lists it as uncharacterized. The record is from RefSeq and is a predicted model, not a curated record. The transcript is spliced from 3 exons. NCBI's taxonomy places the organism in Eukaryota, Metazoa, Chordata, Aves, Strigiformes, Strigidae.
GCCCAAAACUGAACACAGUAUUUGAGAUGUGGCCUCACCAGUGCCAAGUACAGGGGGACAGUCCCUUCCCUAGUCCUGCUGGCCACACUACUCCUGGUACAAGCCAGGAUGUUGUUGGCCUUCUUGGAAACCUGGGCACAAUGCUG